GAUGAACGCUGGCGGCGUGCCUAAUACAUGCAAGUCGAGCGAACAGACGAGGAGCUUGCUCCUCUGACGUUAGCGGCGGACGGGUGAGUAACACGUGGAUAACCUACCUAUAAGACUGGGAUAACUUCGGGAAACCGGAGCUAAUACCGGAUAAUAUAUUGAACCGCAUGGUUCAAUAGUGAAAGACGGUUUUGCUGUCACUUAUAGAUGGAUCCGCGCCGCAUUAGCUAGUUGGUAAGGUAACGGCUUACCAAGGCAACGAUGCGUAGCCGACCUGAGAGGGUGAUCGGCCACACUGGAACUGAGACACGGUCCAGGCUCCUACGGGAGGCAGCAGUAGGGAAUCUUCCGCAAUGGGCGAAAGCCUGACGGAGCAACGCCGCGUGAGUGAUGAAGGUCUUCGGAUCGUAAAACUCUGUUAUUAGGGAAGAACAAAUGUGUAAGUAACUAUGCACGUCUUGACGGUACCUAAUCAGAAAGCCACGGCUAACUACGUGCCAGCCGCCGCAGUAACAC
This 516-nucleotide ribosomal RNA is filed under the name uncultured bacterium. Its description in RNAcentral is "bacterial SSU rRNA". It matches the Rfam family "Bacterial small subunit ribosomal RNA", at positions 28 to 526 of the family's 1533-position model. The record is from RNAcentral.